This 402-nucleotide small RNA is filed under the name Drosophila mojavensis. Its description in RNAcentral is "GI25574". Lineage: Eukaryota; Metazoa; Arthropoda; Insecta; Diptera; Drosophilidae. The record is from RNAcentral.
CCCUUCUAUACAGCCUCAUUCUUACAAAAUAUUUCAAAGCAAUAACAUCUAAAUUCUUUUGUAGUCUUGAUUUGUUUUUUUUGGUUUUUAAAGAUCAAUCAUGUGUUGCGGACCGUGCGGUGGCUGCUGUGCUCCCUGCUGCGGAGGUUGCUUUGGACCUAAUGUGUGCGGACCCUGCUAUGCCACAGGUCCCUGCUUCGGCUGCUGCGGCGGCUGUGCUGUCGGGCCUUGUGGCGGCUGCUGCAGCAGCUGUGGCCCCUCCUGCUAAAAAUCACCUGUGUACCCUUUGUGUUCUCGAAUUUCCGAUUAGACUGCAUUACAUGUGUACUUUUUGGCUAAAGAAUACAAAUUUAACAGACUAAUAGUUUUUAUCAAUAAAAAUGUAAGAACCAACUAAGAUUA